Molecule: RNA transcript, 1400 nt
Organism: Panicum hallii
Lineage: Eukaryota; Viridiplantae; Streptophyta; Magnoliopsida; Poales; Poaceae
Gene name: serine/arginine-rich splicing factor SR45a-like
Exons: 9
Source: RefSeq, a predicted model, not a curated record
GGCCUCGCUGAGGCGAUUUUCUUGUUCGACGGGCGACUCAUCCAUCUCCCGUGCGCCUCCUCCUCGCAGACGGCGACAGCGCCUGCGCGCGCCGCCUCCCUCUCGCCAGCGGCUCGCCAGCGGCGGCGACGGCGGUUGCCUCUCCAAGCCCCCAGGCAGACCACCAUUUGUUGGUUCCUCCAUACUUCACCCUGCACUCCGGUUCGCAGUUUCAUUUGUCAAGAUGUCACAGACGAAGGAAGUGAGAUACACUGCACGGUCUAUUACACCUCCUGCAGAUAGAAAUGGAACUUCAAGGUCGCCUCCUCCAAAGAGACGCAGCCCUUCAAGGUCGCCUCCUCCAAAGAGUACCUCAAGGUCUCCACGUCCAAGAAGUCCUAAACGGCGGAGCACCUCAAGGUCACCUCCUCCUAGGAGACGUGGUAGAUCGAGGUCAAGGUCAAGGGAUAGGAGUCGAUCCAGGAGCGAAGAUGAUAGAAAUCCAGGGAAUAACCUUUAUGUGACUGGAUUGUCUACUCGUGUAACUGAAGAUGAUCUCGAGAAGUUUUUUAAUAAAGAAGGAAAGGUUAAAAACUGUCAUGUUGUUCUCGAUCCUCGCACAAAAGAAUCCCGUGGCUUUGCCUUUGUGACUAUGGAUACUGUUGAAGAUGCAAGACGCUGCAUCAAGUACCUGCACCGCACUGUACUUGAAGGUCGUCUGGUCACUGUAGAGAAGUUUAUAACAUGGUGCUGGGCUGCCUCGACGUCAACCUGGUUGGUUCAGGCUGUGCUGUCUUCGACCAUGGUUGUCGCCAAGGGAUGUGCAGCUGAUGUGGUGGUGCUUAUCACCAACCCCAGAGCUCAUCUUCACUGCUUGUCGUCCACACCUUCCUCACCGACAUUGCAUACCCACUACAUCAACGCAAGGGUUGCCACCAUAGAGCGACCUUGGAGUCUUGUUGUGCACUAUGCCACCAUCACCGCCAGCACGAUCGCCACCGCCACUGCGUCCGCCACCACGACCACAACCGCCAUCGUCAACGUCGCCCGCAUGAUCCAACAGGCUCCAUGGUUUGUCUACGUCGACUGAGCUUAUGUGGUGCAUGCUGCUGCCAUGUCACGACACCAACUGCCGAGCUAGCCUGCAUCGAUGCUAUCUUCAUCCACAACAGGAUCCCGAUUUGAUGGAGGUCACAAGAGGCAUAAUCUGGCUCUUCCUUGGAGAAAGCUACACCGACCACGGGAAAGUGCAAAAAAGUGUCAUCUUUGGUUGAGCUACGCUAAAAGGACUCGAGAAAGGACCCCUACUCCUGGAAAAUACUGUGGUCGAAGAGGAGGAUCUCAAAGGCGCUCUAGGAGCCCAUCACCAUACCGUUCUCGCAGAAGGGAGCGGUCUCGUUCAAGGGACCGCAAAAGGGAGC